CUCAUUUUCAACUCGCUGAAACUGCAUGUUGCUUUGUUAAAUGGACUGGGAUAAAACGCUGAAGGUUCUCGCUGAAAAAGGUGUUUAAAAGUUGCUGAAAACGACUGCUGAAGAAAAGAUGGCAUAAUGUCUCCCAGUCAGCAUCCUUUCAG
Molecule: long non-coding RNA, 152 nt
Organism: Pelmatolapia mariae (spotted tilapia)
Lineage: Eukaryota; Metazoa; Chordata; Actinopteri; Cichliformes; Cichlidae
Exons: 3
Source: RefSeq, a predicted model, not a curated record